This 254-nucleotide ribosomal RNA is filed under the name uncultured prokaryote. Its description in RNAcentral is "partial 16S ribosomal RNA". It matches the Rfam family "Bacterial small subunit ribosomal RNA", at positions 525 to 777 of the family's 1533-position model. The record is from RNAcentral.
ACGUAGGGGGCGAGCGUUGUCCGGAUUUACUGGGCGUAAAACGCUUGUAGGCGGCCACGCCAAGUCGGAUGUGAAAUCUCCCGGCUUAACUGGGAGGGGUCAUUCGAUACUGGCGGGCUCGAGGCAGGUAGGGGGAAGCGGAAUUCCCGGUGUAGUGGUGGAAUGCGUAGAUAUCGGGAGGAACACCAGUGGCGAAGGCGGCUUCCUGGACCUGUUCUGACGCUGAGGAGCGAAAGCGUGGGGAGCGAUCCGGA